UGACAAGGCAAGCAAGUGUAAAUAUAUUUAGCACAUUGAGACAUGCAAAUUACCAUUUGUACAUGAGUUUGGUCCUAACUCUCAAUGAUUCACAUCAUAUAGGUUGUGUUUACAAAUUUAUAGGGAGGAAUCAAGGGUUCGCAAUAGUCUUGCUCUUUACAUAUAUACCUGGCUUUAGCACAUUGAGACAUGCAAAUUACCAUUUGUACAUGAGUUUGGUCCUAACUCAAGUUCAUGCCCCACAGUGAUUCACAUUAUAAAUAGGUUUAGUGUUUACAAAUUUCUAGGGAUGAAUCAAGGGUUGGCAUACAAGUAAUAGGAAUUAAAUGAUUGCUUGUAAGAUUUUCCUAGUUUUUUUCUUUCCCCAAGAUCAGACAAGUACUCAUGAGUGGAUAAUAUUCUUGUUCUUUAGGCACUUGCAUAAAUACCUGCCUUUGCUGGCUGCAACCACACAUCACGCGCUACGCUCUUACCGUUGGACCAAAGCCUUGUGGGCUCUCUAUUAUUCCAAUGGCUUGACCACUCUAUUUGUUUUUCCCCUUCCUAAUUGCUAUGUAGGAGAAUAGAGAUGUAGCUUUAUAGGUUGCUUGCCCUUCUUGGGAGAUACUUGUAAAUUUAUCCAAUUUAAUACAUAUUUGGAUUUCAAAUUUAUCUUUCUG
This 659-nucleotide long non-coding RNA is filed under the name Solanum lycopersicum (tomato). RNAcentral's name for it is "long non-coding RNA (SLYC_LNC000600)". The record is from RNAcentral. Lineage: Eukaryota; Viridiplantae; Streptophyta; Magnoliopsida; Solanales; Solanaceae.